UGGGGAAUAUUGCACAAUGGGCGAAAGCCUGAUGCAGCGACGCCGCGUGCGGGAUGAAGGCCUUCGGGUUGUAAACCGCUUUUAAUUGGGAGCAAGCGAGAGUGAGUGUACCUUUUGAAUAAGCACCGGCUAACUACGUGCCAGCAGCCGCGGUAAUACGUAGGGUGCAAGCGUUAUCCGGAAUUAUUGGGCGUAAAGAGCUCGUAGGCGGUUUGUCACGCCUGGUGUGAAAGUCCAUCGCUUAACGGUGGAUCUGCGCCGGGUACGGGCAGGCUAGAGUGCAGUAGGGGAGAUUGGAAUUCCCGGUGUAACGGUGGAAUGUGUAGAUAUCGGGAAGAACACCAAUGGCGAAGGCAGAUCUCUGGGCUGUUACUGACGCUGAGGAGCGAAAGCAUGGGGAGCGAACAGGAUUAGAUACCCUGGUAGUCCAUGCCGUAAAACGGUGGAUGCUGGAUGUGGGACCCUUCCACGGGUUCCGUGUCGGAGCUAACGCGUUAAGCAUCCCGCCUGGGGAGUACGGCCGCAAGGCUAAAAAC
This 536-nucleotide ribosomal RNA is filed under the name uncultured bacterium. RNAcentral describes it as "partial 16S ribosomal RNA". It matches the Rfam family "Bacterial small subunit ribosomal RNA", at positions 355 to 900 of the family's 1533-position model. The record is from RNAcentral.